CAAGCCCUACCCCAUUCCCUCGCGCCGCCGCCGCCGCCUCUCGCCUUCUCCUCUCAUCUCUGCCGCUGCAUCUCGCGCCAACGCUCCUCCUCCCCUCUUGAUCCCCCUCGUCCUCAAGCUCCUCCGCCCCCACAUGCCGCUGCACUUGCGGGGUAAACCCUAGCCGUGCCCCCUGCGCAGGCUGCGCUGCGUGUUCCCCUUCCACUACGCCCCUCCGUGCGGUAGCAGCGGUGGUUUUUAUUUUCCUCUCCCUCCUCACUAGCAACGCAGCGGGUGCAUCGUCGACGGCGGCAGUGAAGCAGCCCCCGCACCACCACGUCAUCGAUGGUGGCAGAUCUCCUUCGCAGAGGCAGUUGAGAAAUCUCGCAAGUUGUUCGACGGGGCGCUGAAUCUCCUUUGGUCCUGAAGCACUCGUGGGUGGCUUUGCCAUGGCCGACAGAGAGGAGGUAGACCCCGGCGAGAAGCCCCUCAACGAGCUCGGCUACAACUACAACCAAGAUCUCUGGAGGGAUGACGUUGUCCAUCUCCUUUUUGACGAUGACGGUCUUCAUGAAGAUCACACUGCUAUAUGUGAGCAGCCUGCAGUACACCCAGCCGGCAUCCCUCGUGUGUGAAUGGGUUGUGGUCUCCUUCACUUGGUUUGUUGACGUCACCAUGACCGAGAACUCCUCCUCCUUCCAUCGACCGCCGCCUCUCCCGUCUCCAUGGGGCAAGGAGGAGGAGGAGGAGGCCGGGCGGAGAGGCAGCCACAAGCUUGGCCGGAGCUGGGGAGGCCGCGUGAGAGGAGCUCCCUCCUCUCUCUCUUCUCUCCCAAUCGAUUCCCCUGAAUCCGAUGGAAAAGGCAUUUAUUUUCCAAGCCGAUCAAGCUACAUAACACCUGGUGGAGCAAAUAACAACAAUUAUGCGAAUGUGCAGCUCAUUGUAGAGUUUGGCCUGGCUUGGGACAUGCUUCUGAGAACCCACAACUUCCAGAUGCGUCGAAUGAAAAGGGAAUUUUUUUUCUUGGGCCACCAUCAGUCGCGAUUGCUGCAUUAGGCGAUAAGACUGGUUCUUCUCUUAUUGAGAAAGCAACGGGAGUUCCAACUCUUCCAUCGAGGGGAUCACAUAUUCGCUGAAUAGAUGACCAAGGCAAUUGAGCCGAGGAGAGACCUACUGAAUUGGACUUGCGGGAGCAUGUCUCACAUGGCUUGACUACGUAAGGAUUUGGUUGAAUGGAAGGAUCACACAACAUGUAGCUCCACUGGUGGGAAUAGUGACGCGAAAUUUUACUACUCGAGAAUUAUGUUCUACAAAAUUUUGAGGACAAAAGGUUCUUCUCAGGGGCUGAGGCAUACAGCGUAGUGUGAAUUUUAUGGAGCUAUACUUGAAUAUGAACACUCAGUUUGCUUCCCAGGUUUCUCUGAGCUCCAGUAUUUCCAAAAAUUAUGUUCUUUUGUUCUUCUCUUGAGGUGGCAAUUAAGAUUGAAAUAGCUCAUAAGAACAUAAGGAUGCUCGAUGUGAACUGAUUUUUGUGUUUAUUAAAGAACAGUUUUCAUUGAAGUGCAAAGAAGGCAAUCGAAAGUGGACUGGAUAUUAUGCAUAGUUUCCUUCAUAGGCACACAGGAAUAUGUUGUUUCAAAGGGAAGCUUGGCUCUUCAGCUGUUACGGCGUGGGCCGUGAUUAAGAUCUGGCAGGCCAUCAACCCGAAGAGCGUCCUCAAGCCCCAUCACCCGCCAAGACAAUCAUCAAGGCCGUGGCCACCGCCCUCUGAUCAAAGAGGAGCCAGAGUAACUAGAGAUUCAAGUUACCUUCAUCACAACCACUUGCAAAGAGAAGCCUGCAUUCUCAAUUCCCGCUGGUGUGUGACAUUGUAUAUAUGUGUGCUGGCACGUGGGAGCAAAGAGCAACCUGAGUGCUAUGUAUUUUUCCUCUGCUGGUGUGAACGUUUGUGUGUUCUGAGUGGAUCGUUGUUUGGUCUGUCUAUGAGCUGAUGUGUUACUUGAUGAAUGGAGGGCUACUGCUUGUUUUUACUG
Long non-coding RNA from Lolium rigidum, 2012 nucleotides. RefSeq lists it as uncharacterized. The transcript is spliced from 8 exons. NCBI's taxonomy places the organism in Eukaryota, Viridiplantae, Streptophyta, Magnoliopsida, Poales, Poaceae. The record is from RefSeq and is a predicted model, not a curated record.